This 801-nucleotide ribosomal RNA is filed under the name uncultured bacterium. RNAcentral's name for it is "bacterial SSU rRNA". It matches the Rfam family "Bacterial small subunit ribosomal RNA", at positions 77 to 897 of the family's 1533-position model. The record is from RNAcentral.
GCUAUAAUUGUCAGCUAAGUGGCGCACGGGUGAGUAAUGUAUAGAUAACCUGCCCUUAAGAAAGGAAUAACAGUUGGAAACGACUGCUAAUGCCCUAUAUGCCUUUAAUACAUAAGUAUGCAAGGGAAACGCUUUAGUGCUUAAGGAUGGGUCUGUAUGGUAUCAGCUUGUUGGUGAGGUAAUGGCUCACCAAGGCUAUGACGCCUAACUGGUUUGAGAGGAUGAUCAGUCACACUGGAACUGAGACACGGUCCAGACUCCUACGGGAGGCAGCAGUGGGGAAUAUUGCACAAUGGACGAAAGUCUGAUGCAGCAACGCCGCGUGGAGGAUGACACAUUUCGGUGCGUAAACUCCUUUUAUAUAGGAAGAUAAUGACGGUACUAUAUGAAUAAGCACCGGCUAACUCCGUGCCAGCAGCCGCGGUAAUACGGAGGGUGCAAGCGUUACUCGGAAUCACUGGGCGUAAAGAGCGUGUAGGCGGGUAUAUAAGUCAGAAGUGAAAUCCAAUAGCUCAACUAUUGAACUGCUUUUGAAACUGUAUACCUAGAAUGUGGGAGAGGUAGAUGGAAUUUCUGGUGUAGGGGUAAAAUCCGUAGAGAUCAGAAGGAAUACCGAUUGGGAAGGCGAUCUACUGGAACAUUAUUGACGCUGAGACGCGAAAGCGUGGGGAGCAAACAGGAUUAGAUACCCUGGUAGUCCACGCCCUAAACGAUGUACACUAGUUGUUGUGAGGCUCGACCUUGCAGUAAUGCAGUUAACACAUUAAGUGUACCGCCUGGGGAGUACGGUCGCAAGAUUAA